This 496-nucleotide ribosomal RNA is filed under the name uncultured bacterium. Its description in RNAcentral is "partial 16S ribosomal RNA". It matches the Rfam family "Bacterial small subunit ribosomal RNA", at positions 29 to 507 of the family's 1533-position model. The record is from RNAcentral.
AUGAACGCUGGCGGCGUGCCUAAUACAUGCAAGUCGAGCGAACAGACGAGGAGCUUGCUCCUCUGACGUUAGCGGCGGACGGGUGAGUAACACGUGGAUAACCUACCUAUAAGACUGGGAUAACUUCGGGAAACCGGAGCUAAUACCGGAUAAUAUAUUGAACCGCAUGGUUCAAUAGUGAAAGACGGUUUUGCUGUCACUUAUAGAUGGAUCCGCGCCGCAUUAGCUAGUUGGCAAGGUAACGGCUUACCAAGGCGACGAUGCGUAGCCGACCUGAGAGGGUGAUCGGCCACACUGGAACUGAGACACGGUCCAGACUCCUACGGGAGGCAGCAGUAGGGAAUCUUCCGCAAUGGGCGAAAGCCUGACGGAGCAACGCCGCGUGAGUGAUGAAGGUCUUCGGAUCGUAAAACUCUGUUAUUAGGGAAGAACAAAUGUGUAAGUAACUAUGCACGUCUUGACGGUACCUAAUCAGAAAGCCACGGCUAACUACGUG